GAGUGGCUCAAUGGCAGAGUGCUUGCCUAGUGUGCAUGAGGCCCUGGGUUCAAUCCUCAGCACA
This 64-nucleotide transfer RNA is filed under the name Marmota monax (woodchuck). RNAcentral's name for it is "tRNA.Thr". It matches the Rfam family "tRNA", at positions 7 to 64 of the family's 71-position model. From Rfam's summary of the family: Transfer RNA (tRNA) molecules are approximately 80 nucleotides in length. Lineage: Eukaryota; Metazoa; Chordata; Mammalia; Rodentia; Sciuridae. The record is from RNAcentral.